Molecule: ribosomal RNA, 583 nt
Filed under: uncultured fungus
Lineage: Eukaryota; Fungi
Description: eukaryotic LSU rRNA
Rfam family: 5.8S ribosomal RNA (bases 218-371)
Source: RNAcentral
UCUUGGUCAUUUAGAGGAAGUAAAAGUCGUAACAAGGUCUCCGUUGGUGAACCAGCGGAAGGAUCAUUACCGAGUUUACAACUCCCAAACCCCUGUGAACAUACCACUUGUUGCCUCGGCGGAUCAGCCCGCUCCCGGUAAAACGGGACGGCCCGCCAGAGGACCCCUAAACUCUGUUUCUAUAUGUAACUUCUGAGUAAAACCAUAAAUAAAUCAAAACUUUCAACAACGGAUCUCUUGGUUCUGGCAUCGAUGAAGAACGCAGCAAAAUGCGAUAAGUAAUGUGAAUUGCAGAAUUCAGUGAAUCAUCGAAUCUUUGAACGCACAUUGCGCCCGCCAGUAUUCUGGCGGGCAUGCCUGUUCGAGCGUCAUUUCAACCCUCAAGCACAGCUUGGUGUUGGGACUCGCGUUAAUUCGCGUUCCCCAAAUUGAUUGGCGGUCACGUCGAGCUUCCAUAGCGUAGUAGUAAAACCCUCGUUACUGGUAAUCGUCGCGGCCACGCCGUUAAACCCCAACUUCUGAAUGUUGACCUCGGAUCAGGUAGGAAUACCCGCUGAACUUAAGCAUAUCAAUAAGCGGAGGA